AGAACGUCAGCUGUAGAAAGUUCAAGAGUAGACCUACCGACAACUUCUUCCAGAUGUUUACUAUUCAUACUGAGGAUAUUUCCAGAGUUCCAGGUCCUUAAAGUCCAUAGAGGAGCACCUGUAGAAAGUCCUAGAGUAGACUGAAGAACUUUCUCCAGUUGUCGGUAGGUCUACUCUAGAACUUUCUCCAGUUGUCGGUAGGUCUGCUCUAGAACUUUCUCUAGUUGUCAAUAGGUCUGCUCUAGAACUUUCUCCAGUUGUCGGUAGGUCUGCUCUAGAACUUUCUCUAGUUGUCAAUAGGUCUGCUCUAGAACUUUCUCCAGUUGUCAGUAGGUCUGCUCUAGAACUUUCUCCAGUUGUCAAUAGGUCUGCUCUAGAACUUUCUCCAGUUGUCGGUAGGUCUGCUCUAGAACUUUCUCCAGUUGUCAGUAGGUCUGCUCUAGAACUUUCUCCAGUUGUCAAUAGGUCUGCUCUAGAACUUUCUCCAGUUGUCGGUAGGUCUACUCUAGAACUUUCUCUAGGUGUCAGUAGGUCUGCUCUAGAACUUUCUCCAGUUGUCAGUAGGUCUGCUCUAGAACUUUCUCCAGGUGUCGGUAGGUCUGCUCUAGAACUUUCUCCAGGUGUCGGUAGGUCUGCUCUAGAACUUUCUCCAGCGGACGUUCUCCUUUCCUGCUUCCAGAUGAAUACACACUUCAACCCAUUUUUAAGAAGCUAACCACAGUUCCUUGAAGACAAUAAUGUUAGUCUGGUCACAUGAAUGUUGCAGUUCUCUGAUAUUUAGUUUGUUCAAUUAAUUCAGAUUCAAACGGAGGAUGGAAUCUCUUCAAUGGAUCUACUUCCAUCGCUGUUGUUUGGACUACUAACCCUCUACACUCAAAUAGUAAAGGUUGGAGAUAAGACCAUUUACCGACGUUGGUAAACUAAGUUGAGUGAUUACAGUUCAGAGGUUUGGGAUCAACACAUCAAAGCUCAAAGGUUCUCAGAAGACUGUCAGACUGGAACUUGUCUUAAGGUUGAAAUAAUCGUUGCUGCUGGCACUGAUAUCGGUUCAUCAGAAAACCCUGAGCUGAAGUUAAAGUCUGAGGAAGAAGAUUCAAACCCCCUGCCUCCAUCUGACGCCUUGUUUCCACACAGCUGACAUAAAGCCUACACCACCUGGUGUCCAAAGUAAGAAUUAGCUUGUAGACAUCAACCGACCAAUGCUAGGAAUUUGUCUUCUGGUUGGUGGUCAUUAACUAUAACGCAAGUCUUUGUCACAGUGCCCGUUGCUGCGAAACUCCCACAAUGCUCUCUGCUUUAACAUGUAGUCUGAGUGACACCUCUCUGGUCUGUACAGGAUGAAACAGGAAGAGGCUCCACUAAGUUCAAUGUUUUCAGCGUACUCGAGAGAAAUUCUAGACUACCUAAACACAGCGGAGAUGUUGAGGUUCCUGAAGGGAUUUUUGGUGUUGUUGAUCUGAAGAGCUGUGUGGAAACGGCUCUAAAGGUGGAGUCCGGCUUCCUCUUCAGUUAGUAUCAGAAUCUAACCUAAACUGAUGUGUUUAAUGGACUCUAACUGACCAAUGGGCGAAGACGGGACUGGACUGGUUGUUCUGGUCCAGUUCUGCUCUCACCGUCUUGUAACUCUGCAGUUUACUUGACGAUGUUACAAGCCGCUCAGUGUGCUCAGCUGUCCCUUCCAGGCUUCUGUACGGACCAGUUUUUAAAUGCUGCUU
Molecule: long non-coding RNA, 1715 nt
Organism: Acanthochromis polyacanthus (spiny chromis)
Lineage: Eukaryota; Metazoa; Chordata; Actinopteri; Pomacentridae
Exons: 3
Source: RefSeq, a predicted model, not a curated record